RNAcentral lists this ribosomal RNA (497 nucleotides) under uncultured bacterium. RNAcentral describes it as "partial 16S ribosomal RNA". It matches the Rfam family "Bacterial small subunit ribosomal RNA", at positions 28 to 507 of the family's 1533-position model. The record is from RNAcentral.
GAUGAACGCUGGCGGCGUGCCUAAUACAUGCAAGUCGAGCGAACAGACGAGGAGCUUGCUCCUCUGACGUUAGCGGCGGACGGGUGAGUAACACGUGGAUAACCUACCUAUAAGACUGGGAUAACUUCGGGACACCGGAGCUAAUACCGGAUAAUAUAUUGAACCGCAUGGUUCAAUAGUGAAAGACGGUUUUGCUGUCACUUAUAGAUGGAUCCGCGCCGCAUUAGCUAGUUGGUAAGGUAACGGCUUACCAAGGCAACGAUGCGUAGCCGACCUGAGAGGGUGAUCGGCCACACUGGAACUGAGACACGGUCAAGACUCCUACGGGAGGCAGCAGUAGGGAAUCUUCCGCAAUGGGCGAAAGCCUGACGGAGCAACGCCGCGUGAGUGAUGAAGGUCUUCGGAUCGUAAAACUCUGUUAUUAGGGAAGAACAAAUGUGUAAGUAACUAUGCACGUCUUGACGGUACCUAAUCAGAAAGCCACGGCUAACUACGUG